This 75-nucleotide transfer RNA is filed under the name Candidatus Levybacteria bacterium RIFCSPLOWO2_12_FULL_37_14. RNAcentral describes it as "tRNA-Val". It matches the Rfam family "tRNA". From Rfam's summary of the family: Transfer RNA (tRNA) molecules are approximately 80 nucleotides in length. The record is from RNAcentral. Lineage: Bacteria; Candidatus Levyibacteriota.
GGACCCGUGGUUUAGUGGUAAAACGUUCGCUUCACAUGCGAAAGAUUGAUGGUCCGAUUCCAUCCGGGUCCACAA